UCGGGAAUAUUGCGCAAUGGAGGAAACUCUGACGCAGUGACGCCGCGUGCAGGAAGAAGGUUUUCGGAUUGUAAACUGCUUUAGACAGGGAAGAAAAAGACAGUACCUGUAGAAUAAGCUCCGGCUAACUACGUGCCAGCAGCCGCGGUAAUACGUAGGGAGCGAGCGUUAUCCGGAUUUAUUGGGUGUAAAGGGUGCGUAGACGGGAAGAUAAGUUAGUUGUGAAAUCCCUCGGCUCAACUGAGGAACUGCAACUAAAACUGUCAUUCUUGAGUACUGGAGAGGAAAGUGGAAUUCCUAGUGUAGCGGUGAAAUGCGUAGAUAUUAGGAGGAACACCAGUGGCGAAGGCGACUUUCUGGACAGAAACUGACGUUGAGGCACGAAAGUGUGGGGAGCAAACAGGAUUAGAUACC
RNAcentral lists this ribosomal RNA (414 nucleotides) under uncultured bacterium. RNAcentral describes it as "bacterial SSU rRNA". It matches the Rfam family "Bacterial small subunit ribosomal RNA", at positions 355 to 786 of the family's 1533-position model. The record is from RNAcentral.